Molecule: long non-coding RNA, 904 nt
Organism: Microcebus murinus (gray mouse lemur)
Lineage: Eukaryota; Metazoa; Chordata; Mammalia; Primates; Cheirogaleidae
Source: RefSeq, a predicted model, not a curated record
UUUGCAAGGAGGUGGGCAAGUAGCCUGAGUUGGGAGAUGACAAGCUAGACGCAUGAGGACAGUGGUCUGUGGUAUCAUGGGUGCAGCUUUCCCUGGAGGCACGUAGCUGGGCUGGAUAGCUUCUUGAAACCUACACUUGCCCUCUGGUUUGGUAAAGUUACCUGGAUUUUAUGGAUGGAUAGUUCCCAAAGUAUGACGUUUAAGGGUAACCUGAAAUUCCCCUGUGUGGAAGAAGUAAGUUCAUUCCUUCAAAGGACAUGCAAACAUUUCUGCCUUUCCGGAUAUGAGGAGGAGGAUUAUUUAAGGACAGAUAAAAGGAAGAAUCUGUUAAACUAACUUACCUGGUUUUAUAUUGACCUCUUCUGACCAGCUCCUGAAUUCGUUGGCAAUUUUGGUGAUAGUCUGAGUCAGAAUGAGGCCCCAAAGCCUUUCAGCUCUUCAUUUUGUGCAGGAGCCUUCCGGCCACCUCUGUUCUGAAGUCUGGGAAGUUCAAGGUCAAGGUGGCAGCAGAUUCGAUGUCUCCUGGCUCGUGGAAUGGCAGCUUCUCCUGGUGUCCUCGCAGGAUGGAAAGGGUGCAGAAGCUUCCUUUGGCCUUUUUAUAAGCGCACUAAUCCCAUUCAUGACCUAGUCACCUCUCAACACCAACACCUUGGUUAGGAUUUCAACACAUGAAUUUUGGGCGGACUUUCAGACCAUGGCACCUGGCAUUUUCCUUUCUCUUGCUUAGAUCUGCCACCGGCUGAAGCCCAUUGGAAGUCUGAUUUUACAGGUGUCAGCCCCCUUGAGUGCCAAGCAAAGCAAGGGAAAGCAGAGAAUGGCUCUGAGGGUAAACAGGUAAACAUCACACACAUCCAUGAACUCAUGCAAACACAAAAUCUCACCAACAUUUUGAGAAAAAUUUAAA